RNAcentral lists this long non-coding RNA (3139 nucleotides) under Lynx pardinus (Iberian lynx). The record is from RNAcentral. Lineage: Eukaryota; Metazoa; Chordata; Mammalia; Carnivora; Felidae.
CCUCCUCAUAAUCCUUCUCAAGGGCAGCCAUGUCCUCACGGGCCUCAGAAAACUCUCCUUCCUCCAUGCCCUCACCCACAUACCAGUGAACAAAGGCACGCUUGGCAUACAUCAGGUCAAACUUGUGGUCCAGGCGAGCCCAGGCCUCAGCAAUGGCUGUGGUGUUGCUCAGCAUGCACACAGCUCGCUGUACUUUGGCCAGGUCUCCACCAGGUACCACAGUGGGAGGCUGGUAAUUAAUGCCAACUUUGAAGCCAGUGGGGCACCAGUCCACAAACUGGAUGCUGCGCUUGGUCUUGAUGGUGGCAAUGGCAGCAUUGACAUCUUUGGGAACCACAUCACCACGGUACAACAGGCAGCAAGCCAUGUAUUUACCAUGGCGAGGGUCGCAUUUCACCAUCUGGUUGGCUGGCUCAAAGCACGCAUUGGUGAUCUCUGCUACAGAAAGCUGUUCAUGGUAGGCUUUCUCAGCAGAGAUGACAGGGGCAUAUGUGGCCAGAGGGAAGUGGAUGCGGGGAUAGGGCACCAGGUUGGUCUGGAAUUCUGUCAGAUCCACAUUCAGGGCUCCAUCAAAUCUGAGGGAAGCAGUGAUGGAAGACACAAUCUGGCUAAUAAGGCGGUUAAGGUUAGUGUAGGUUGGGCGUUCAAUAUCGAGGUUUCUACGACAGAUGUCAUAGAUGGCCUCGUUGUCUACCAUGAAGGCACAAUCAGAGUGCUCCAGGGUGGUGUGGGUAGUGAGGAUGGAGUUGUAGGGCUCAACGACAGCAGUGGAAACCUGGGGGGCUGGGUAAAUGGAGAACUCCAGCUUGGACUUCUUGCCAUAAUCGACAGAGAGACGUUCCAUCAGCAGGGAGGUGAACCCGGAACCAGUUCCCCCUCCAAAGCUGUGGAAAACCAAGAAGCCCUGAAGACCCGUGCACUGGUCGGCCUGUGAGAAAAAAGGAACAGAGGAGACAGAUUAUAAUAGACCUUCCCAGAAUUACAAAGCAUUUCUUCACUUAAAAUAUCUUCAUUGACGUUUAUAAAAUGACACCAAAUAAUUCAUGUUGUAGUUGAAGAUUUAAAAACCCUAUCAAGGAAUAAUUUACCAGUUGUCCUCACUCCAUUAUAUUUCUAUUCUGUGUUUGAAAAGAAAAGAUCGUAUUUCAAAUGUCUUCCUUAGGGCUAUCAUUUACUUUAUUCUGGAGAACAAACAUACCAGUUUCCGAAUUCGGUCCAAGACAAGGUCGAUGAUCUCCUUGCCGAUGGUGUAGUGCCCUCGGGCAUAGUUAUUGGCAGCAUCUUCCUUGCCCGUGAUGAGCUGCUCAGGAUGGAAGAGCUGGCGGUAGGUGCCAGUGCGAACUUCAUCUGGAAGAGAAAAACAAAGCAGCCACCCGUCACUCACAACCUGCACACGCCUGCUCCACCCCAGGGUGUCAUUGGAGCCCUCACGACAGACCUCCUGUCUCAAGAGCCCUGAGAUCUCCCUUGGGUUACUGAGGCCAACUCACCAAUGACUGUGGGUUCCAGGUCUACAAACACUGCCCUGGGCACAUGCUUGCCAGCUCCCGUCUCACUGAAGAAGGUGUUGAAGGAGUCAUCUCCUCCCCCAAUGGUCUUGUCACUUGGCAUCUGGCCAUCGGGCUGGAUGCCGUGUUCCAGGCAAUAGAGCUCCCAGCAGGCAUUGCCGAUCUGAACACCAGCCUGGCCAACGUGGAUGGAGAUGCACUCACGCUGUGGAAAAGUAGGUAAAAAAAAAAAAAAAAAUCAGCAUUAAACCAAUCUAGUAGUGACUGUGAAGCAGAACAAAAUAACAAGUAAUCAAUCUUACAAAUUUCCCCUUCUAAAACUAGUUUAAAUGUAACAUCUUUUCUAGGAGAGAAUCACUACACUUUUUAAUCGGCAUUGCUUUUAAUGUAUUUCUUUUCACCCUGUAAAUUGGGAAGGCCUCGUUCCAGACCAAGAAAGCUUAGUCACAGCUUUCUCCUUUGGAGCACCAAGAUAGGGGGAGGCCAUUCAUCCAGUGCUCAGGCUUCAGAAUUCCAUUUUAGACUAGGCGGCCAGAUUUCCGGGCAGCUACCAUCACAGGAAGCACGUGGCCAGAACAGUGCAGAGGAAAUGUCUGGCCACAGGGACAAAGGGCGGGGUUUUGCGGCACAGGAUGAAUGAGCAAUUCAGGGUGUGUGCGCGCGCGCCCGCGCCCGCCUGCGGCCAGCGGGACCGCGCAGCUGCAGACACACGCAGCGGCCACGUCUGCUGAGGUGCUACCUCGGCCAACCAUCUUCUGCUCCCCCAGGCGCUAGGCUUAGCCUAGCACCCCCACAUCAGUCAGGGCGCAGCAGGGGAUUAUCAGCAGCCCAGAUCUGGACCAAGAUCCGAUUUCCAUUCUUUCAAAAUCCCUCACCGCCACCAGCUGCUCCUACACGCAUUCCUAACAUAGGUCAAGGGACAGAUGGAGUCUAGAAGCUGUUGGGAGCAAAUUAUCCUAGUACGCUGGCGUACUGCAGCACACUGACACGGAGGAUUCUCCACAUGUAGCUUUUCUUUCGUUAAAAACAAAAAAAAAAAUGCAGGCUAACAGACGACACGCCCUACAGUGGCGGACGCGCAGGGCCCUCGCGCGCACGCGCAGACUGCAGGGGCGGUCUCCCGCCGCUCCCUGGCGGGAAGCUAACGGUCGCGCGUGCGCUUUUGUAUUCUGGCUCCUUCCCGCCUCCGCUCUUCUCGCUAAGGAGGAAGUGAGGGCGUGGAGAGCCCGCGCGCGCUCCCGCCAAAGGCCGGGGAAGGAAGGGGGGAUGGGAACGCGCGGGAAAGGACUGUAGGGUCUCGGGUCACCGCACCCCGGAGUUAAGGGCUAAUUGAGAGACCCAACCACGGUCUGGGGAGCUGGGGCUCCGCCAUCCCCUCCCAAAGACAGAGAAGAAAAUGCGCCCCCCUUCCAUGCCCCAGCCGUUCUCACUACUCCCACCCUCGCCUCGCUUUUCGCCCUCCCAAACGAGGAGCGCUGAUCUCUGGCUAAAAGGCCGUCCGAGACCGCCGGGCUGGCUUUUCCCGUUUUUCCAGAGCGAGGGCGGCGCCGCGAGUGGUCCACUCACCAUGGUGGCUAAGGGUUAGCAGGCGUAGGCGACAGGAGCAGACACCGGGUCCUGGUUACCGUCCC